AAUAAAAAUGACCAAAAUAGCAUUUAAUGUUUUAUCAAAAGAGAUAAAUAUACACUUAUAUGGUAAAUUAAUCUAGAUAUUAGGGUUUAGAGUUAAGGGGUGGAGUUUAGGAUUUAGGGUUUAGGGUUUAGGGUUUAGGGUUUAGAGUUUAGGUUUUAGGAUUUAGAGUUUAGGAGUAGGGUUUAGGAUUUAGAGUUUAGGGUUAAAGGGUGGGGUUUAGGAUUUAGGGUUUAGGGUUUAAAGUUAAGGGUUUAGGGUUUAGUGUUUAGGGGUGGGGUUUAGGGUUUAGUGUUUAGAGUUAAGGGGUGAGGUUUAGGAUUUAGGGUUUAGGAUUUAGGGUUUAGGAUUUAGAGUUUAGGUUUUCGGGUUUAGAGUUGGGGAGUGGGGAUUUGGGAUAAAAUUUCAAAUUUUGAAAAAUAAAAAAAUUAAAUUUUUCAAAAGAGAAAAUGCUAUUUUGUCAUUUUAGUUUUUGAGGGCUAUUUUUGUGACAUAAACUUAGAAUUGUGCUAUUUUGGAGAUUUGCCCAAUUUGUUUUAGUUAUGUUCUGUUUGUUUUGGCAUAAAACUAAUUCUACCAUUCCGUUUCGGUUUAGUUUUGUUUGAGGAAUUUUGGUUUUUUUUUUGUUCUCAG
RNAcentral lists this long non-coding RNA (630 nucleotides) under Brassica napus (rape). Its description in RNAcentral is "long non-coding RNA (BNAP_LNC013123)". Lineage: Eukaryota; Viridiplantae; Streptophyta; Magnoliopsida; Brassicales; Brassicaceae. The record is from RNAcentral.